Molecule: ribosomal RNA, 253 nt
Filed under: uncultured bacterium
Lineage: Bacteria
Description: partial 16S ribosomal RNA
Rfam family: Bacterial small subunit ribosomal RNA
Source: RNAcentral
UACGUAGGUGGCAAGCGUUGUCCGGAAUUACUGGGCGUAAAGGGUGCGUAGGCUGAUAUUUAAGUCAGAUGUGAAAUUCCAGGGCUCAACCCUGGAACUGCAUUUGAAACUGGAUGUCUAGAGUGCAGGAGAGGAAAGCGGAAUUCCUAGUGUAGCGGUGAAAUGCGUAGAUAUUAGGAAGAACCCCAGUGGCGAAGGCGGCUUUCUGGACUGUAACUGACGCUGAGGCACGAAAGCGUGGGGAGCAAACAGG